This 275-nucleotide long non-coding RNA is filed under the name Felis catus (domestic cat). RNAcentral describes it as "lncRNA (ENSFCAG00000047669.1)". Lineage: Eukaryota; Metazoa; Chordata; Mammalia; Carnivora; Felidae. The record is from RNAcentral.
UUUCAGAAUUGGAAAUGUCAAUGAAUUAUACGUGAAGCAAUCAGAACAUUAAUCCAACAAUUUCACAAAGAGCUGAUGGACUAGUAAUGGACAAAAAAUGGUUUCUAAGACAAGACUGUACAUUAUCAGGGAGGCCUGAGCAGAGCAAGAGGGGAAGAACACUGGGUCAGAUGGGACAUGGAAAGUUUGGAUUGGAGUGUCCAGGAUAUAACACACUAGAAGGAAAUCUAAUCAAGAUGCUCCCCAGAGGUAAAUAAACUAGGCAGUACAGGGUG